GACAAUGGAUCAUGUGAUGCGGUCUGGAUGAAAGCUGAAGACAUGUAGGUGCUUCCUCUCUACAUGAAGUAUUCAACAGAGGAGUGUUGCAAAAGUCUGGAUGUACUAUGGAGCCUCCAAAACCAUUUUUACUGAGUUUGAGACCAGGGUCUGAUCCUACUCCCCGUUAAGAUAAGUGACAAAAUGCCCAUUGGAUUCAGAAGGGCAGAAACAAGCCCCUAAAUAGGAAAAUUGUUUUAGAAUGAAGGAAAUAUUCGAGUUCUGGCAAAUUAAAGUGUCAGUGGGCAGUUUGAGUAAGGAUGGAUGGAUUAGUCCCUACUGAACAUUUGAAUGGUAAGUUUUGAAGUUGCCUUCAAUGUUUGAGAAAUUUUUGCCCCCCAUGACUGACUUUGGGGUGGAGAACGGACAAUAACUGUUUUUCUCAAAAUUAAAAAUAUUGAUAAUUUCUUUGCUUACUCUGGUGGUGCAAAGGGCCAUAAACCGGCAGCAGUGUGGAGGACUAUAGAGCAAGCAUAGCUUUAUGCCUGGCUCUCUCCCCUGAGUGCCCUUCAGCGAACUCUGCCCCCCCCCACUCCUGAGAUCCUGCAUAAAGGAUUUGGGGUCUAGUAACAGUGUUAAAUAAAAAUGUAGCAUCAAGUAGCCUAGCUGUUUAGAUAAAUUAGUGCAUCUAAAGAAUUAAAAGAUAGGCCUUAGAUGUUUUCUAAAGCAGAUGGACACAUGGCUGUAAGGUUUUGUUAGCAGAAAAUUAAACUUGCACACUAUAUUUUAUUAAUAGACAAAGAAUGUUUAUUUCCCAGCUGUUUAUUACCCAUAGGUCACAAGUGCUCCCACCAACAUAUAUAUUGUAUCUGUAUGGAUAUAAAAUGGACUCCAAGUGCCUCUAAUAUAACUAAAAUAUAGAAAAGAAACCCUUUACAAAAGCCAGCACCUAUUUAAGUAUUGUAGAACCCUUAAUUCCUCUCCUCCCAGUAUCUUCUCUAUAUUUUUUUUCAAACCCCACCACAUUGCUUCAACUUUCUAUUUUAUCACUUAUACCAAAAUGAUUGGGACACAUUCUGUGGUCCUGAAUCAAGUGGGAAUUUUGCUCCAUUAACAACAGAAUAUAGCCCAAGAACUAUUUUCAUUUUACUUUAUAAAAAAAUGGAUAUGCCAUAUUCUUGAAAUUUUGAUUUACAAGUAAAUUUCAAGAAUCUUAAACUAUGCCUACCUAGUACAGAUAGAUAGUCACAGCUGGUUUUCAGUUUAUAAAGGUUCAGUCAAAAACUUAUUCAUGUGAUCGCUAAUGCACUUUUUAAAACUUAGUUGUCUUAAGUUUAGAAGAUUAUUUUGCCAAAUUAUAGAUGUUGUUUUUCAUAAAAUGUAUCUGCUAAAUUAGCACUCAUCACUUUAUCCAGCUCCUCAGUGCUGGGCCAUGAGGGAGUUUGCUUGCAUGGAGUUGCUCCCAAGUUAAAGCAUUUUGGUUAGUUUAUGUACAGAAAUGCUGUAAAUGUUUUCAGAGAGGUAACUUUUACUUUUAGAAUUUCUUAUGCCAUUUUGAGAUCAGAAUUUUUGUGUGCUUUUUUUUUUUUUAAAUGUAAACUUCACUGAUUAAAUUUCCAUUAGUUCUAGUGGCUGCACUUAUCUUUUCUCAUCUGUCCAUACUGAGAUCAAAUGCUAAGUGCAGGAUUAGAACCAAUCUAAGAUCUGUGAAGUAAUAAAUUAACACUCUAAACAGUAGAAACUGGUACCACUAUUUUAAGUGUAUCAAAAUCAUGAGCACCAUCCUUUCAAGAAAUGCUGAUGUGCAGACGUAUAUGUCAAACUUUACCAAGUAAUUUGUAAUUGAUGUAAUUUUGCCUCUACUGUUCACGAUUAUUAUUCUUCACCAGGCAUGCAGACUAAAUAAGUGGGGUUUUUGGUCCUCUCCUCAGUAAUGCAGCAAGGAAUGGAAAAUACCCCUUUACUCAAUGUGGUCUGGAAGGACUGAACUUCAGAAAUGAAAAGAAGUCUCCAAAAUAAGUUUUGUUGCCUUAAUGCUUUUUACUAGCCCAUUUUUGGCUUCUUUAGAGUACUGAAUCUGCACAUCAACAACAAAUGAUAUAUAACUAACAUGGAUAACUUACAUGUUUCUACAUUGCCUCAGUCUUCUCAAUUACAAUAGUCUCUGUUUGUCUAACUGGUGAUGAAGCCAUGUAGUCAUCGGACAGGAGACCAAGGAUUGGAUAUUGGUUCAUGUACCUGUAUAAAAAGUUUUGCAAAACUGUAAGUGGAAUACUGUUUAAAAAGCUCAGCAGAGAUAAACAUCUAUGUCCAAAGCAGUAUCUCGUCUUGGAGGACCAAAUUCAACCUUUCCCCCACAAUACUCACUUCUAGAUUAGUUAUUGCGCCCAGAUUUGUUUAAAAAGAGUUAAGUAAAUAUCUGAACCAUAGUUUUUGAAAGGCUUUAGUUUACCAACCGAAAUUUUCUCUCUCCUCAAAGGCAUCCACUUUAGAAGUGUGUGUUUCCACAUGUAUUACUUUUUCUUUUAAAGCCAAACACUCAUUACUAACUAUAUGCCAUGAUUCUGUCCAACACCCAUUAAUUAGCAUUAAGGGAUGCUCAAAAGACACAGGCAUACAGUUGCAGAGGACCAAAAAAAAAUGGCGACAGUAUGGACUGUUUUUUACUGUUCUUUUGACAUGUGUGUUCUCAGCCCAGGACAUGUCUACACUACAAUCUUAAGUCGACCUAUGUUAGCUCGACUUACAGCCACCACAGUAAUUACUGCGAUGGCUGCUGGACACACUACCGUUCUUCUGUCAGUGGUGUGCAUCCUCACCAGGAGCGCUUCCACCAACUGAAGAGGGGCAGUGGGGGGGUGGGGCUAAGAGACAGGGAUUUCAGCUCCACACAUCUCCCUGCCAGGAGCAGGGGGAGGUCAGCCACCUGGGGCUUUUUGUCUCUGGCAGGGAGAUCCAGCCUGGACUCCUGUCAGUUGCGGAGUCAGCUUUCUUGUCAAUUUCAUGGCUUCAAAAGGAGCUGUGAAAUUGACCAGACAGCCAACUUCUUAACUACACCAGCAUAAGUGGAGGUGUAAUAGGGCCCAUACAUUGGUGGGAGCAAGGCUGUAAUAUAAACACUAACAUAAGCUGCCUUAUGUCAACCUAAUUCUGUAGUGUACACCAAGCUUUAGUGUUGUUAACUCUGAAGAGCAAAAUGGAUUAAGUAGUCCAUAUUUUUUAUCCCUAAAGCAAGCAAAUCUAAAUCAGCAUUCACAUACAGAGAUUGCCAUAUUUAUUCUGAUCGUUUUCUGGCCAUAAAUACAAAUGUUUUGAAUAAAAAGUGCAGUAGGAUAGAUUUCCAACUAAGUCUUAGAACACUGGCAUUUCUCAGACAUAUACAACUUUCUAAGGUUUAGUUUAUCAAGUGAGAUUCAGAGGAAGGAACACCCUCAUUUAUCUUCACAUCCUCCAAACACUUCAUUAAAAUGGUCAGUGGGACUAUAUAAAGCACAUCUUCUCCAGACAUUUUUCUUAAGCCCAGAUAUUAAAUAAACAUUUUAAAAGAGAAUCUUGUAACCUGACAUUUGCAGGCCACUACUGCUGUGAAAACCAGUAUAAAAUGAAAAUUAAAAAAAAAUUAAGAAAAUUAUAUUGCUACAUUACUUUUUUGUGAUGAUAGACUUUGUUACACCUGUGGAUUGAUUGCAUGAUAAUCUUUCUUGCUUCAACCUGAAGAGUUCCUAAGGAAACCAAAAAUAACAUUUAGUGAAGAGUUCAGAAUUAUUAUUUUUAACUCUGAAGUCACAAGAAAAUAAUUAAGGUUAAACUCCUUUCAGAAGACAAAAUGGAAUCAAAUUUGGUUAUUCCAAUAGACUGGGUCAGAGGAAGGCCUACAGGCUCUACCUAACAGUCAAGGGUAUUACUAGGGGUUGGGCAAAAAUUACUCCUUUUUCAGGAGAGACAAAGGUUGAACAGGUUGCAGAACUCCCCUCUCUAUGAAGCAUGCUCAUAAAUUCCUCUGGCAUCCACUUAGCAUGGAGGAAAGGAAGGGGCAGCUGUUGAUAAGUAUUAAAGAUUCUUACAAAGGAAUUUUAUAGUAAUAGAUGGAAGAAGUGUCCUGCAAACCAAAGACUUAUAGUUUUACAUGUAGCAGAGCAAUUAAAGGAAACAGAUCAGUAGUGCUGUUAUCUUGGCAGAUCUUCUCUACCCCACCUGCUCUAUCUUCCACCUUAAAUUCUAAUGAUUUACACAGUUAAAAUUUGAAUUUUCUUAUGGUCCUCAACAGGGUAAGAGUAAAUAAUAGACUUUAUAAAACUGCAGCACAAAUGAACACUGUUUUUACCUCUUGCUGCUGUUUAAUAAAAGUCUCCUUCUCUUCUAACAUUGAAGUAAGUUCAUGCAGCCUCAUCUGGAAGUCACUGUUACUUCCAUCUCUUCUUGAAAUAUCUUGCUGGAACUGGUUUAUCUGGGACUUUAAAAAAAAAAAAACAGUUAUGCACAUGGUAAGGAAAAUAAUAGCUCUGAAGUCGACACAUCUUAAAUAAAGCUGACCUGCAAUGAACAAACAAUGGAGUUGUGCCCCUUUUUUUGCUGCUUUGUGUUUCAAAAAGAUCUGAAUUUUAAUUUUUUUUUUUUUUGGUGGGGGAAGAAAAGAAAAGAAAAGAAAAAAGGAGGAAGUUCAAGUCUUUCUAUGUUGUUUUUCCUGAAACAUGCUACAGGCGACAGGAGAACCGGUAGAACUCGGAUAAUUAAAAACUUGAUUGACAGGAGAAGCCAAUUUUAUUCAUAUGUUUAAAACUGUUGGUUUGUUUUUAGUUAACACCUAUUUCUCACACACACCUGAACAGGAGAAAAGAUGGCUUAGUUAAAAGUUAAAUAUACAUCUAAGACCCCCAACGCAGUCUUCUAUCAAAACUGUGGAACACUAAACUUGAAUUACUGAUAUUAUGGUUAAAAAAAAACAAAAACACAAAGAAAGCUUUUCAGGCCUUUUUAAUACAUAAUGAACUAAAAAGGCAAAAAGUCCAACUUUUCCUCCUUUGCUGGUCUCCUUUAAACUAGAAUUAAGCUAAUUUUAUCCAGUUUGUGGAUUUAUUUUAUUUAAUGCACUACUUCUCCCAUGUUUUGCUGCUGUUUGUUUUCUGUUACUUUAUAAUUAUUUAAGAUUUGUAUUAUGGUAGUGUGUAGAAGCCUAAAUAACAAUCAUGACCCUGAAUAUAUGAAUACAGAAAGUAUGGUCCUGUCUGUGUGACUAGUCCUGGACAUGACUCUGAAAAUGAAGGAUUUUCAUCAAAUAAUAGAAGGAUAAUUUUUUUUGAUUCUGCAUCCUACUGGCAUACACUUAAAAAUCCAAAUUUUAUUUAAAAGUUUUAUAUCUGCUAUUGGUACAAAAUUCCAAUUUUAUUUCUUUCAGGACUCCAACUGAAAGAAAUAAAAGGGAAAAGAUAUUUGUAUUUCCAGUUUGUCCACUUGGUACAUUUGUCAGCGCUUUAGAUCUCAUCUCCUUAUGUUUGUGUGGAUUCUCACACAGCAAGAAACCACAUUAAAAUAACCAGAUUAAUAUAAAAAAAAAAUGUUCAGGGAGACUCAAGAAUAGGUCAACUUCAAUUAAAUGAUUUUAGCGCCUUUUUGGUGCAAUGGAGUGGUUCCAAGUUAACAUUAUUACUUUAGUAGUUCACUAGUGCUUUGAUUUUGUUUGCUAUCAGUAAGUUUAUGAAACUCAGUAUGCUCUGAUAAAUUCUUUUGGUUACCAAUUAUAGCACAAGUUAGAAAGAUCUCUAAGCAGGCCAAAUAUAAAUACAGUACCCUUGUGUGACAGAGGUUUUAUAGGUACAAUUUAAAUCAGGAUCUGUCUUAUUCUGUGAAAGCUGCCUUUCUGGUUAGUUUUUGCACGCUCCCAAAAUACAUGAAUCUUUUGUUUAUGCUCAACUCACAAGUCUCUAAUGUGUAGUAAAACUGCCAACCCAGUUUUGGAGUCAGAAAAGAUUCUGUAAAAUCUGCUUCUGAAGGGUGAAUUAUUAGUUUUCAACCAAACACAACGUGAACAAUAAGGCGAGGAUUUCAAUGGAUACAAAACAGAGACCACUAUCUCUAAUUUCAAACCACAAAAUAGCUAAAGUAUGUAUAUUUGGUUGGUAUAAGCUUCUUCCAUUUUGUAAUUUUGAAAAUGGAACCUGCCACUUUCCUAUAUCCAUACUUUGCUCAGAAAUCUGUACAUGAUUAUGAAUGUAUACGUUAUAAGAUAACCAACAUACCCUAAGAUUGCGGAUCUCUCUAUCUUUAUCCUCUCUCAAGUUGUUAAUCAUCUCCACGUAACGACUAGAGAGCUCAUCUGUGCUGGUUUGUAUCAGUGGAUUAGAACAGGUCUAUGCAAAACAAAAUUAUAGUACUCUUAAUUAUUAUGCAGUGUAAUACAGUUAUAAGGAUAUAAAGUAUGUAUCAUCAGAUGAGAAAACAAGAAAAUUAUCUUUACAUGUCACCUUCCCUCCACCCUAUGAAUUCUAAAUCUAGUGUAGCUGGAUUUAUGAGUGAAAAAAUAGUGACAAGAAAAUAAAAAACCAUUACCUUCAUUCUCAGGUUCUGGAUCUCCUGAUCCAAGGCACGCUUGCAGUAUUCCAGUUCUUUUAACCGACAGUCCUUCUCUCCCUCAGCACAUCGGAGAGAGAUGAUCUGUUCCUCCAGUGAACGACAUUUUGCAACACUGUCUCUGAGUCCUUGCUAUGAAAGCAGCAAACAAAAAAUUCUUAGAUAUGGAGAUAGCGAAUCUGCUGCUUUGUCAACUCUGACAGUCCUUUGGGAAUCAAACCUUCAAUAUCUUCUACCUAAUAAUGAAGACAGAAAAACAAAUCAAUUUGUUGGCUUUGACAUCUCGAAUAAGAAUUCUUCCUGUAUAUGACAAUGUGAUUUCUUCAUUAAAUUACUCUGCUUGGAAAACAUGAGAAAGACAGAAAACUGAGAAAUGGAAUGCACACAGAUCAAAUUAUAUCCAGAAAACUUCCAAAAUGUAUGUCUUACAUUGUAUAUAAAGCUAAUUUAGAUGGAGACAUUAGUUUGAAGCAUAUUUAUUUUUUGCUGAUGAAUAAGCAAAAAGUCUGUCAAUUUUAAAUGUGUAUGUUUUAGAAAUAAUAAACACUUAAUUAUGUUCCUAUUCUGGAGACAUAAAAGUUACACUGAGUUGCAGCUA
This is a long non-coding RNA of Chelonia mydas (Green sea turtle), 7144 nucleotides long. RefSeq lists it as uncharacterized. Lineage: Eukaryota; Metazoa; Chordata; Testudines; Cheloniidae. The record is from RefSeq and is a predicted model, not a curated record. The transcript is spliced from 5 exons.